Molecule: ribosomal RNA, 254 nt
Filed under: uncultured bacterium
Lineage: Bacteria
Description: partial 16S ribosomal RNA
Rfam family: Bacterial small subunit ribosomal RNA
Source: RNAcentral
UACGUAGGUGGCAAGCGUUGUCCGGAUUUACUGGGCGUAAAGGGCGCGUAGGCGGUCAGCACAAGUCAGUUGUGAAAUCUCCGGGCUUAACUCGGAAAGGUCAACUGAUACUGUGCGACUAGAGUGCGGAAGGGGCAACUGGAAUUCUCGGUGUAGCGGUGAAAUGCGUAGAUAUCAGGAGGAACACCGGUGGCGAAGGCGGGUCUCUGGGCAGUAACUGACGCUGAGGAGCGAAAGCGUGGGGAGCGAACAGG